UACGUAGGGGGCAAGCGUUGUCCGGAUUUAUUGGGCGUAAAGAGCGUGUAGGCGGCCAGGGAGGUCCGUUGUGAAAACUCGAGGCUCAACCUCGAGACGCCGAUGGAAACCACCUGACUAGAGUCCGGAAGAGGAGAGUGGAAUUCCUGGUGUAGCGGUGAAAUGCGUAGAUAUCUGCAGGAACACCCGUGGCGAAAGCGGCGCGCUGGACCACUACUGACGCUGAGGAACGAAAGCUAGGGGAGCAAACAGG
This 253-nucleotide ribosomal RNA is filed under the name uncultured bacterium. RNAcentral describes it as "partial 16S ribosomal RNA". It matches the Rfam family "Bacterial small subunit ribosomal RNA", at positions 524 to 776 of the family's 1533-position model. The record is from RNAcentral.